This 489-nucleotide ribosomal RNA is filed under the name uncultured bacterium. RNAcentral's name for it is "partial 16S ribosomal RNA". It matches the Rfam family "Bacterial small subunit ribosomal RNA", at positions 28 to 507 of the family's 1533-position model. The record is from RNAcentral.
GACGAACGCUGGCGGCGUGCUUAACACAUGCAAGUCGAACGGUGAAGGGACCAGCUUGCUGGUUCUGGAUGAGUGGCGAACGGGUGAGUAACACGUGAGUAACCUGCCCCCUUCUUCUGGAUAACCGCAUGAAAGUGUGGCUAAUACGGGAUAUUCUGGGUCUGUCGCAUGGCGGGCCCGGGAAAGAUAUUGCUUCGGUGGGGGAUGGGCUCGCGGCCUAUCAGCUUGUUGGUGGGGUGAUGGCCUACCAAGGCGGUGACGGGUAGCCGGCCUGAGAGGGUGGACGGUCACACUGGGACUGGGACACGGCCCAGACUGCUACGGGAGGCAGCAGUGGGGAAUAUUGCACAAUGGGCGCAAGCCUGAUGCAGCGACGCCGCGUGAGGGAUGGAGGCCUUCGGGUUGUAAACCUCUUUCGCCAGUGAAGCAGGCCUGCUCCUUGUGGGUGGGUUGACGGUAGCUGGAUAAGAAGCGCCGGCUAACUACGUG